Mastomys coucha (southern multimammate mouse) is the source of this 2804-nucleotide long non-coding RNA. RefSeq lists it as uncharacterized. The transcript is spliced from 2 exons. Lineage: Eukaryota; Metazoa; Chordata; Mammalia; Rodentia; Muridae. The record is from RefSeq and is a predicted model, not a curated record.
GAUGUCUCAGUAGUCAGGAGUGAAUGCUGCUCUUCCGAAGGACCUGUGUUCAGUUCCCAGAACUCGCUUUGAGUGGCUUACAGCUACCUCUAAGUCCAGCUCCAGGAGACCCUCUCUGGCUCUCGUGGGCACCUGCAUACAGGUGGUACAUGUACACACACACACACACACACACACACACACACAUACACUCAGCACACUCACAGUUGUGCAACUCUCUCCAGGACUUUCUCACCUCACAGAACUGAAGUUUGAUGCUCACUAAACAGCUUUCAGUUCCCUCAGCCCCAGGCGACCACCCCCGUUGUAUUGCUUGUUUCUAUGAUGUUGACCUAAGGGGUGUUUGUUUGUUUGUUUGCUUGCUUGCUUGUUUUUUAAGGCCAAACUCUUACCUUUGUCUCUGUCUAUACCAGAGACUGUUUCUCACACAUAGGAAGGAAGAGAAGCCACAGUCAGGAGUGGAGUCGUGGCUCCCUCCCAGCCGUAUGGAGCUGGGAUCUCUGUCAACACAGUGAUACAGUUUUUCCUCCACAUGGACAGAGGCCUGGGGGUUGGCUGCUCUUAUUGUAAAAGGAACCAGGGGCGAUGCUCACUAGCCUCAGGAUAUAUAUAGACCCUCUUCUGAGCUCAGGGUGGAGCUGUGGAUAGAAGCCAGGCUUCCCAUAAGCCAGGCUUCCAUAGUCAAGGUGGACAUUAAAAGAUAUUAAAGCCGGCUCCUGUUUUGUUUGUGCCCUCACUGUAGCUCAGGGUCUGUUGCACGAUUUGUUUAUUUAGUUAGUUACUUAGGCCCUUAAGGGUUUCAGGUAUCCCAGCCUAACCUUGAAGUGAUCUUCCGGCCUCCACUUCUGGCGUUGAUUCUAGGCAUGUACUGCCAUGCCUGCCUUUGUUCAAUUUGCUCAUUUAAUUGCAUGAUUUGUAUAGACACUCAUUCUAGGACUCAGAGGAAGCUGUGUUUCAAAGCCCAGCCCUACUGUGAGAGGCACCCCUGUGAGCCUACUGUGAGAGGCAGCCCUGUGGUCUCUGGCUCCUCCCUUUCUCACCCCCUCCCCUUCCCCCACUCCUUCCCUCCUUGUGUACCCAGCAGUCUCUGUUUGUUCCGCAGGGUAGGGCCUCCUCAGCUCCUUCUGCAUGGACCCUGGACAAAGUCCAGUCCAACCAAGUCCUUUCCUACGCCAGCUCGAAGCUCAGAGGUCAGAGGUCAGGUUUUGGAAGAGGCUUUUCCUAAGCCACUGUGUGACUUUCGCUUUCACCCAUGGCAACCAGGUUGCGGAUUAACCGGAUUAACCAGGGACGGAGAGCUCACGAGUACCCUGGACCGUGGAGGCUCGCUCCACUGCCUUUCCAGGGACACUGAAAGAACAGGUCCCUGACGGUGAUGCCGGCUUUCAGGCUCUUGGCGCACGUUUUCACUGCGUGUUUUCCUCAGUUGGCAUUUUAUAAAGUUGACUGAAGACAGAGCUCGCAUAGCCCAGACUGGCUUUGAACUCCCUUACCUAGUCAAGGAUAACCUGUUCUCACCUCUACCUCUGGAGAACUAGGACUACAGGCAUGUGCCACCACAGUUGAUUUCAGGCUCUGCUGGGGAACUGUCUCAGAGCUUCAUAUAUAUUAGCUAUGCAUACUACAAACCGAGCUACACCCCCAGCCUGCAUUACAAGAUUCUUUAUGAACACCUUCUGGGGAACCUUAAGGAGAUAGACGCUCACCAAGCCUCUCUACUGAGUGUUCGUGCUGGGGAUGCUUCAGGUGUGCUGUUGGCACAAGAACAGAGAAAGCAUGAAGCAAAGAGAAAUCCACAGCGAAGUCUACACGAAGGGUCACUGUCUUAAGUGGGUCUACUCAGAAACUGCUGCUGGGUCCCAAAGACGUCAUAUCACCUCUCCCAUGUCAUUCUCUAACAAACCACAAGAAAACCCGCCCUUGAUGACCACGGGGGAGCCUUUCCUUGUAAUGAGUCUACCUACCACACAGCCAGCUGCUGGGCUGUCUCAGCCUAAGCUCCAGGGGAAGGAAAAGCCAAGGAAAAAGAGGGGAAGGGGAGAUGCGUUUUCUGUUUUGUUUUGUGCCUCAAACAGUCCACCAAGUGUAUUUUGUACCAAGGUAGGUUCCAAUGGGCUUCCCGCAGCACGCUUGUUAUGGAAGGUGAAUUUGUUUGCUCAGCGAGUCGAGGUCGGCAGGCAGCCAAGAUUCACAAGUUCAGAAUUUACCUUCUGUAAGCUGAGACUUCAGCCGGUGGCACAAAAUUACCCAGAUGACCUAAGACACACGCUUGACUCUGUGUUCAUCACUUAGCUUAUUAGGAAGUUUUUGAAUUCUUUUCUGGAAGUAAUCCUUAACUCUGAAAUGCUCUCCUUGUGAAUUAGAACACAGAGAGAAUUACCAGAUGCCUGUGUGCGUGGGAGAGCGAAGCCCAGUGCCUAAGGGAACAGCAGUUACCCUAAGACCCUGGAGCUCAUCACACGCUCCACGUGGACACCCAGAGGACACCCUUACCCUGGGCUGGCUGCUAAUCACUCCCUAGAAUUUCUUUGAAUUAUGGACUUUCGUGUGACUCUCUAGAAAACAUUGAACUUGGAGAAGCUGAGUGGGAGACGCACGCCUGUCUUGCUAAGGAAUGGCUGGUGGACCCCACGCAGUGCGAGGUACCAGCAGAACUGCGGAGCAGAGUGCGCCAAGUUUCAAGUCCUCUGGCAUUUGAGCCUCUCCAAGGGCUCAGAUUACAGGGUGUGCCGUUUUUUUUUUUCCCCCAGGAAAAAGUAAGUUAAAGGACAAUAAAUAAAUAAAUAAAUAAAUAAAUAACCCAC